This 2189-nucleotide small RNA is filed under the name Pongo abelii (Sumatran orangutan). Its description in RNAcentral is "retained intron". Lineage: Eukaryota; Metazoa; Chordata; Mammalia; Primates; Hominidae. The record is from RNAcentral.
UAUUCCGGCUUCACAUGGGGAUGGUGUGACCAUCUCACCGGAUGGUGGUGAGGUUGCCGUGAGGAGGCGCUGGCAGAGCUCUUCCCAGCGAGUGCUUGGGACUCUUCAGCCGUGCACAGUAGCUGCCCCCACUUCAGGAAGACAAAGGGGCCAGCUGUUCAGCAGUUAGCGUGUCGUCCACCAGGAAGUCAUUUUCUGUGGUGUUUGAGUUAAAAUGCACACAUUCAAACAAGACCUGGUUUGAUCCUCACAGUCAUUCCAGGGUCGGGGAGGGGUCACCCCAAUUUUAUGGUGAGGCAGCUGAGGCCCGAGCAGUGAGCCUGUGUCUGGGACCCUCGGGGUCCCCACACGUGGAGACCAGUCCCUCAGGCAGCCCAGGGGUGGACAGAGCUGGGGCUGCCUGUCCCCAGUGGGGUUUUCUCAAGGGCAGGAGCAGAGACUUUCUCCUGCCUGCGUCCAGGCCACACCUGAGGCCCUGGGAAGGCCCUGGGGCUGCCCGUCAAUCCUGGGCAUUGUGCCUCCAGGAGAAGGCUGGAAGGGCACCUGGGCACUUGGGGUGUCCUUGUGCCUGAGCCCUGCUCCCGCCUAUCUCAGAUGGAGAACUGCACCCAGCCGGCCGUUGUCACCAAGGACUUCUGCAUGGUCUUCUAUUCCCGUGACGCCAAGCUGCCAGCCUCGCGCUCCAUCCGCAACCUUUUUGGCAGUGGGAGCCUUCGGGCCUCGGAGAGUAACCGUGUGACUGGUGUGUACGAGCUCAGCCUGUGCCACGUGGCUGACGCGGGCAGCCCAGGGAUGCAGCGCCGGCGCCGACGAGUCCUGGACACAUCUGUGGCCUAUGUCCGGGGCGAGGAGAACCUGGCAGGCUGGAGGCCCCGGAGCGACAGUCUCAUUCUGGACCACCAGUGGGAGCUAGAGAAGCUGAGCCUCCUGCAGGAGGUGGAGAAGACCAGGCACUACCUGCUCCUGCGGGAGAAGCUGGAGACCGCCCAGCGGCCUGUCCCAGAGGCACUGUCCCCGGCCUUCAGCGAGGACUCUGAGUCCCAUGGCUCCUCCAGCGCCUCCUCCCCGCUCUCGGCUGAGGGCCACCCAUCACCCCUGGAGGCUCCCAACGAGAGGCAGCGGGAGCUGGCCGUCAAGUGCUUGCGCCUGCUCAUGCACACAUUCAACAGAGAGUACACACACAGCCACGUCUGCGUCAGUGCCAGCGAGAGCAAGCUCUCCGAGAUGUCUGUCACCCUGCUCCGGGACCCGUCGAUGUCCCCUCUAGGGGCGGCCACUCUCACCCCCUCCUCCACUUGCCCCUCUCUGGUUGAAGGGCGGUACGGUGCCACUGACCUGAGGACCCCGCAGCCCUGCUCCCGGCCAGCCAGCCCAGAGCCUGAGCUGCUGCCAGAGGCCGACUCCAAGAAGCUCCCUUCCCCUGCCCGGGCAACAGAGACAGACAAGGAGCCCCAGCGCCUGCUGGUCCCUGACAUCCAGGAGAUCCGAGUCAGCCCGAUCGUCUCCAAGAAGGGGUACCUGCACUUCCUGGAGCCGCACACGUCGGGCUGGGCCAGGCGCUUCGUGGUGGUGCGGCGCCCCUAUGCCUACAUGUACAACAGCGACAAGGACACCGUGGAGCGGUUCGUGCUGAACCUGGCCACUGCCCAGGUGGAGUACAGCGAGGACCAGCAGGCUAUGCUCAAGACACCCAACACAUUCGCAGUGUGCACGGAACACCGCGGCAUCCUGCUGCAGGCUGCCAGCGACAAGGACAUGCAUGACUGGCUGUACGCCUUCAACCCCCUCCUGGCCGGGACCAUACGGUCCAAGCUCUCCAGAAGGAGGUCUGCCCAGAUGCGGGUCUGAACCUGAGCCCUCCCGUGACAGCCGGCAGGCCCAGCCCAUCCCCACCCUCAUCCUCGUCUGUCCUGUCACCUGCCGCCCAGCUCCUCUCCUGCCAGACAGCCCACGACCGGGUCGACCCCCCAGGGGACGCCCUUUCCAGGCCCGGGGACCUGUGCCACACGACCAGCUGUGCUCCCAGCAGAGGCUGCGCGUGUCAGUUCUUGCAGAAUGUGCUCUGGUGGAACAAGCUGGGAGAGGCUGGGGGGGCCAAGGGCGCAGGUUACGGGGGUUCUUGCUGCCGUUCUAAUAUUUUUUUAAGCAUAGACAGACUUAUAAUUAAUAUACGUUAGUUAGUGACAUUG